Molecule: ribosomal RNA, 248 nt
Filed under: uncultured bacterium
Lineage: Bacteria
Description: partial 16S ribosomal RNA
Rfam family: Bacterial small subunit ribosomal RNA
Source: RNAcentral
UACGUAGGGUGCAAGCGUUAAUCGGAAUUACUGGGCGUAAAGCGUGCGCAGGCGGUUUUGUAAGUCUGACGUGAAAUCCCCCGAGCUUAACUUGGGAAUUGCGUUGGAGACUGCAAGGCUGGAGUCUGGCAGAGGGGGGUAGAAUUCCACGUGUAGCAGUGAAAUGCGUAGAGAUGUGGAGGAACACCGAUGGCGAAGGCAGCCCCCUGGGUCAAGACUGACGCUCAUGCACGAAAGCGUAGGGGAGC